This 875-nucleotide small RNA is filed under the name Pongo abelii (Sumatran orangutan). Its description in RNAcentral is "retained intron". Lineage: Eukaryota; Metazoa; Chordata; Mammalia; Primates; Hominidae. The record is from RNAcentral.
UCUUCUGGAGCCUGCAGCAUGGGGCCCCUGCCGCGCACCGUGGAGCUCUUCUAUGACGUGCUGUCCCCCUACUCCUGGCUGGGCUUCGAGAUCCUGUGCCGGUAUCAAAAUAUCUGGAACAUCAACCUGCAGUUGCGGCCCAGCCUCAUAACAGGAAUCAUGAAAGACAGUGGUAGGAAGGGAGGGUCGGGGCAGGGGUGAUUUCAGUGGCCCAAGAGAGCCGACCCCAGCGGGUCCUUAUAUUGGCACUGGCAGCUAGAAAGCUGCCCUCUGCCCCGACUCUACUAAAAAUACAAAAUUAGCUGGGCGUGGUGGUGCAUGCCUGUAAACCACAGCUACUCGGGAGGCUGAGGCGGGAGAAUCGCUUGAACCCAGGAGGCGGAGGUUGCGGUAAGCUGAGAUCGCGCCAUUGCACUCCAGCCUGGGCAACAAGAGCGAAACAACAAGAGAAAAAAAAGAAAGCUGCCCUCUGCCCAAAACCCACGUCGAGGUCCCCAAACCUGGGACCCUUAGGUCUUUUCUCACUUAGCGUGCCCAACCUUCUCCUGGCAGGAAACAAGCCUCCGGGUCUGCUUCCCCGCAAAGGACAAUACAUGGCAAAUGACUUAAAGCUCCUGAGACACCAUCUCCAGAUUCCCAUCCAUUUCCCCAAGGAUUUCUUGUCUGUGAUGCUUGAAAAAGGUGAAGAGAGUGGGAUGUAGACAGGGUAUCCAGUGAAGAACAGAGAAGUCGGAGAUUGAGGGAUUGAUGGGAUGGAGGGGCUGCGGGAGACUAAAGCAAGUGAAGCCUGCCUUGGGAAACCUCAGGAUCAGCGUUGAGGGAGCUGAAGGUUGCCGGGCAUGAAAGGGAAGAAGAGCAGGCAAAUAGGUCAUGGG